This is an RNA transcript of Lotus japonicus, 3929 nucleotides long. It is a transcript of the gene named F-box/FBD/LRR-repeat protein At1g16930-like, with no coding region annotated. The transcript is spliced from 3 exons. The record is from RefSeq and is a predicted model, not a curated record. NCBI's taxonomy places the organism in Eukaryota, Viridiplantae, Streptophyta, Magnoliopsida, Fabales, Fabaceae.
GUCACCAUUUUCGGCACAAUCUUAUCGUUGCCAUGCUACCACUGAUGUUAAUUUGAAGUCCAGCGAAUAUGGUAGACAGAAUUAGCAGGUUAUCAGAUGAAGUCCUCUGUCACAUUCUCUUCUUUCUCUCAACUGAACAAGCUGUUGCCACAAGUGUUCUCUCAAAGAGAUGGAGGCCCCUCUGGAUCUCAGUCCCCGUUCUCGACUACGACGACGAAAUCUAUCUCAGAAACAACAAACACCCUUCUUGCUUUGAAAGGUUCGUAUACGCAACCAUUCUACCGAGAAAUCCGCAACAACCCAUCACAAGGUUCCGCCUCAAAUACGGGGUUUCUGGUUCUGAACUUUCCGAUACCGAUGUCAGUCAUGGUCGUUCGAACGCUGAUAUCAAUGUUUGGGUAAACACUGUUAUACGACGCGGGAUUCAGAACCUUGACAUCCAGAUACAUCCUCAAAAUUAUAUAAUUAGUUUGAGCAGCUGCAUUUUCAGUUGCCAAACCCUUGUUGUUCUCAAGUUAACAGGGUUAUCUCUCAAAGCUUUUUCUUCCGUUGAGCUUCCCUCACUCAAAUCCCUAUAUUUGGAACAUAUUCAAUUUGUAGAUUGUCGUUAUCUUGUUUUGCUUCUUUUCGGGUGUCCAAUGCUUGAGGAUUUGCAAGCUGAUUGGCUAGAUUAUGCUCUUGACGAGUAUGAUUAUGUGAAACAGUUUAAAAGCUUACCCAAGUUGGUCAGGGCAAAUCUACGUCAUGUCGGUUUGGAUAAUACUAAUAUUCUUCUGAAUGCAAUAUGUAAUGUGGAGUUUUUGAGCAUUAGGCAGAUUCGAUUGGUUGAUGAGAUUCCUGAAUUUCUUCUCCCUCUACUUAGAAAUUCAUACCUGCCAUUCAGUGCUUUUGAUGCUCAAGAAUUGCCCCAAGCUUCAGAGUUUUAAACUUGAUUUGCGUGAAUUUUCUGAGGAUGAAGAUGUUCCACCUUACUCUCAUUUUGUUGUUCCUGAAUGCCUUACAUCACAUCUUCAGAAGUGCUAUCUCAAGUAUUACCUAGGCACAAAAAGUGAACUACAAUUCGCAAAAUACAUCAUGCAGAACUCAACAUCUUUACAGUCCAUGAGAAUUUAUAGUCUUUCACCUAAUCCGUUUGAAGCGCUAAAGGAGUUAGCUUUUUGCCCAAGGAAGUCUACAUCAUGUGAACUUUCAUUUAAUUUAUAUGGUGGCCAGUAGCUGCAAACUCUUCCUAGACGACAACAUGUGUCAUUUCUUAAUGAUGCUGUCUCAUGCUAUCCAUGUGGGCUGAUCGUGGAUACUGAACUACUUCUUGUAGACUCUCUUUGCUGGUUCUGGUUAUCCCUGCUUCCAGCUAAUAUUGCUUUGCUGUUAUUACUGAAUUGUUAUUGGCUGUAAAGGAAGGGUCUUGCACUUAGCAUGGGAGCUGAUGUGACCAAACAGAAUGUCCAAGAUAAGUAGGAGAGCCCUGUAGUUCCAUAAAGUUGUAUUAUUGUUUUUUUUUCUCAGUAUUAAAAUCAAUUAAUUAAAAUAUCUUGGUUGCUGUAGAACAAAUAAAUUAUGCGCUGUAAUCAAAUUAGCAAAGCUACACCAGUUGGCUUAGAGAGAUUAAUAUAUCCAUGUUUCAACGGUACUUUUACAACCUUAAUUUCUUGAGAGCAGUUGGAAUUGAUAAGACCUAUAUUUCUUUUACAGGUUCUGCAUUAAGCUAACUCCAGAAGCACCUGGAAGCAAUGACAUCCAACAUUCUAUUGCUUACAAAAAAAAGAGCAUAUUGUAUAUAGUUACCAAACAGCACCAGGAUCCUUUCAAGCAAGCAAAUACGAGCUGCAAAAUUUCUAACCAAUAAUUUCUUAGUUCUAGCCACUUCUGACGAAAACCUGCAAAGUUUUUGAGGUUUGGGUUACAGCAUUUUCUAAAUCCAAUUUUUUAAAGGUGAGCAGAACUGAUUCAGAGAUGAUCUUAUAUUAUCUUAUUAAAUGUGACUUCUUUCUUUUAGCUUAAAAUACAAAGGAGUUGCCAUCGAAUAUUGGUGAAUAUUAUGAAUACGUAUUUAUGUAUUGUUGUACAUUGCGCAAAUCAAAAGGCUCGAACAUGUGUCAAUGGAUAGUAAAUACUGUCUUCUUCUGAUUUUGGCAAGAAAAUGCAAUGUGUUUGUCUUUCUAAUUAUGGCUGCAGGCGUGUUAUUUUAUUUUUGUCUGUGUCUAACAAGGAUGACUAAAAUUAAAAUUAGAUGAAGGCAUCAGAUUUAAUUAGCUUCUUUCAAAUUGUUUGUUUAGAUUAUCAAUUUUCCAUUUCUUAUUAUUUUGAUUUUCUUGUUCUCGCUAAUUGGUGAAGGUUUCAGGUUUGGUUGUUUCGAUUAUCUAGACCAGCUAUGAACUUGUUGUUUAUCAUUGUCAUUGUAAUUGUUCAUGCUUUUCUUUCUAUUGUUGGUAUUCUAGUGUCCCUGUUCCUCUGUUAGUUCUAGUUUCAGUGAUGAACUGAUGAUCAAUGCAAUAGAGGGUUCCUUGCACACAUAUAGAGGCUAUCAUUUCACAAUAUGUGAGAGACCCACAAAAAAUUGGGUAGAUAGCCCAAUUGCUUCAGAAAUUGGGUAGAUAGCCCAAACAAAAAUAAAAAUCCUCCAUGGAAUGACUUUGGCACCAUAUUUUAGGUCCCAAAUUUGUUUCCAUAUACCAUAUUUAAUUUUGGGAAGAGCAAGGGUCCAAUGUAUGUAUAUAUUGGGCUGUCACAAUUUCUCUCUGUAUGGUUCAAUUUGGUAUGUUUAGUUUUAGGUCAUUUGAUGAGUCAUAUUGUGCCUUAGGGGAGAAACAGGGAUAAUAAUGGAAAUGAAGAGAGAGAAGGGCAAUAAGUUAUGGAAUGAGGAAAGUAUUUGGAGUGAUAGACCAGGAACUCUUGAAUAAUUUGGGUUAUCUACAUUUUGUUUUUUUGUUAUUACUACCAGAUAUAUAUUCUAGUUCUGAAACUAAGGUCACGAGGAGGGAAAAUAAGAAAUGCAAACACUUAUAAUAAUAUCUGCUUCCAAAGUUAGUUAUGUUAAUAUUACAUAUCAGUAAUCUAUAUGUUCCUUUGGGAAUCAAUGUUGUCUUGACUUCUUGGUAAUGACCAUGCAAAUGAUGAAAGAUAGUUUCCUCUCAGACCUUCAAAUAGUUAUUCAUGUGCACUCCAAAAAGAUAAUUCAUUAUAUAUGUCAUUAAUUGUAUCACAGGUAAUAUUGUAUUGAACUUGUGCUUUUGUUACGAGGUGAGGUGUUUGAGUUUGAUGGAUGAAUUGAGGUUAAUGCAGCCACUUUAUAGAGUGGGCAGGAUCAGGCGUGCAGUUUGAAUAGAGAUAUAUGUUUCUGUUAUAUGCACUGCCCUGACAGAACCAUCCCAAAGACCAGGUGUGCAGUUUGAAAAAAUAUAAUACACUACCAGGAAAUUCUAACAAUUUCAUAAUUUGAGGACAAAAUAAUAUAACUUCUCAAGUACCCUUAAAGCAACAUAAAUUUCCAAGCUCAUUUCCAACUUUAUUUCUGUGCAUUCCAAAUAAAAAUGUUCCUAAAUUGUUCUCUUGUUUUCAGGUCAUUGUGCGUUGAUUAAUUCCCUUUUACUUUUGGUAUGUUUUGUAUUUUUCUACUUAAAUAAUUCUAUGUGUGGUUCAAUCCUGAUAUUUUCAUAAUCUCAUAAUUGAUGUAGUUUCUUAUCCUUUUACUGUUGGUCUGCAUUUCUUCUAUGGAGUUUGGCAGAGGGCCAGGACACUUCCACACCAAUCAGCUCUACUUAAGAAAACUUAUUCUAUGAUGCUGAUUGUGUAAAUAUGUAAUGGAACUAUUUUAUCAAAUAUUGUAAGAAAUUGUGAGCAAUGAGUUAAGGUCCAUAUGUUAUGUAUACUUACAUUAUUAGCCAUAUUCUUCAAGUGUAAUUGAUAGCAGAGAAAUGGAUUUGCUUUGA